UACGGGAGGCAGCAGGGGGAAUAUUGCACAAUGGGCGCAAGCCUGAUGCAGCCAUGCCGCGUGUAUGAAGAAGGCCUUCGGGUUGUAAAGUACUUUCAGUCGUGAGGAAGGUGUUAAGGUUAAUAACCUUAGCAAUUGACGUUAGCGACAGAAGAAGCACCGGCUAACUCCGUGCCAGCAGCCGCGGUAAUACGGAGGGUGCGAGCGUUAAUCGGAAUUACUGGGCGUAAAGGGCACGCAGGCGGUUAAUUAAGUUGGAUGUGAAAUCCCCGGGCUUAACCUGGGAAUGGCAUUCAAGACUGGUUAGCUAGAGUCUUGUAGAGGGGGUAGAAUUCCAUGUGUAGCGGUGAAAUGCGUAGAGAUGUGGAGGAAUACCGGUGGCAAAGGCGGCCCCUGGACAAAAGACUGGACGCUCAUGUGCGAAAGCUGGGGACGAAACAGGAUUAGAUACC
This 452-nucleotide ribosomal RNA is filed under the name uncultured bacterium. RNAcentral describes it as "bacterial SSU rRNA". It matches the Rfam family "Bacterial small subunit ribosomal RNA", at positions 340 to 786 of the family's 1533-position model. The record is from RNAcentral.